GGUUCGACUCCGGAGAGGGAGCCUGAGAAACGGCUACCACAUCCAAGGAAGGCAGCAGGCGCGCAAAUUACCCACUCUCGGCACGAGGAGGUAGUGACGAAAAAUAACGAGACGGAUCUCUUUGAGGCCCGUUAUCGGAAUGAGAACAAUUCAAAUCCUUUAACGAGGAUCUAGCGGAGGGCAAGUCUGGUGCCAGCAGCCGCGGUAAUUCCAGCUCCGCAGGUGUAUAUCUAUGCUGCUGCGGUUAAAAAGCUCGUAGUUGGAUCUGCGUGCUCGGAACUGGUUGGCUCACUGAGUUCAAACUGGUCUCCGGCGCUUUAUUGGCUGGUUUUCCCUUGAUGCUCUUAACCGGGUGUCUUGGGUGGCUAGCACGUUUACUUUGAAAAAAUUAGAGUGCUCAAUACAGGCGUAAAGCCUUGAAUAGUGGUGCAUGGAAUAAUAGAAUAGGACCUCGGCUCUAUUUUGUUGGUUUUCGGAACGCGAGGUAAUGAUUAAGAGGGACAGACGGGGGCAUUCGUAUUGCGACGUUAGAGGUGAAAUUCUUGGAUCGUCGCAAGACGGACGACUGCGAAAGCAUUUGCCAAGAAUGUUUUCAUUAAUCAAGAACGAAAGUUAGAGGUUCGAAGGCGAUCAGAUACCGCCCUAGUUCUAACCGUAAACGAUGCCAACUAGCGAUUCGCAGGCGUUAAACAACGACCUUGCGGGCAGCUUCCCGGAAACGAAAGUGUUCGGGUUCUGGGGGAAGUAUGGUUGCAAAGCUGAAACUUAAAGGAAUUGACGGAAGGGCACCACCAGGAGUGGAGCCUGCGGCUUAAUUUGACCCAACACGGGAAAACUCACCCGGCCCGGACACCGUAAGGAUUGACAGAUUGAGAGCUCUUUCUUGAUUCGGUGGGUGGUGGUGCAUGGCCGUUCUUAGUUGGUGGAGCGAUUUGUCUGGUUUAUUCCGAUAACGAACGAGACUCUGGCCUACUAAAUAGUGGGCGGAUUCUUUCUGUCCGCAACACUUCUUAGAGGGACAAGCGGUGUUCAGCCGCACGAGAUUGAGCAAUAACAGGUCUGUGAUGCCCUUAGAUGUCCGGGGCUGCACGCGCGCUACACUGAAGGAAUCAGCGUGCUUUCUGACCUUGCCCGAAAGGGCUGGGUAACCCGAUGAAAAUCCUUCGUGAUUGGGAUAGGGACUUGCAAUUAUUUCCCUUGAACGAGGAAUUCCCAGUAAGUGUGGGUCAUAAGCUCGCGUUGAUUACGUCCCUGCCCUUUGUACACACCGCCCGUCGCUGCCCGGAACUGAGCCGUUUCGAGAAGAACAGGGACCGUCGUUGAAGGGCCUUAACGGGCUUUUCUCUGAUAGAAACUGUUUUAAUCGCAGUGGCUUGAACCGGGCAAAAGUCGUAACAAGGUU
This 1402-nucleotide ribosomal RNA is filed under the name metagenome. Its description in RNAcentral is "SSU rRNA". It matches the Rfam family "Eukaryotic small subunit ribosomal RNA", at positions 374 to 1801 of the family's 1831-position model. The record is from RNAcentral.